CCGGAGCGUUAACAAAUGGUCGACUUGGAGGUUGUUCCUUGAGGAGUGGCUUCCGGAGCUAACGCGUUAAGUCGACCGCCUGGGGAGUACGGCCGCAAGGUUAAAACUCAAAUGAAUUGACGGGGGCCCGCACAAGCGGUGGAGCAUGUGGUUUAAUUCGAUGCAACGCGAAGAACCUUACCUACUCUUGACAUCCAGCGAACUUGGCAGAGAUGCUUUAGUGCCUUCGGGAACGGUGAGACAGGUGCUGCAUGGCUGUCGUCAGCUCGUGUUGUGAAAUGUUGGGUUAAGUCCCGCAACGAGCGCAACCCUUAUCCUUUGUUGCCAGCGAUUCGGUCGGGAACUCAAAGGAGACUGCCGGUGAUAAACCGGAGGAAGGUGGGGAUGACGUCAAGUCAUCAUGGCCCUUACGAGUAGGGCUACACACGUGCUACAAUGGCGCAUACAAAGAGAAGCGACCUCGCGAGAGCAAGCGGACCUCACAAAGUGCGUCGUAGUCCGGAUCGGAGUCUGCAACUCGACUCCGUGAAGUCGGAAUCGCUAGUAAUCGUGGAUCAGAAUGCCACGGUGAAUACGUUCCCGGGCCUUGUACACACCGCCCGUCACACCAUGGGAGUGGGUUGCAAAAGAAGUAGGUAGCUUAACCUUCGGGAGGGCGCUUACCACUUUGUGAUUCAUGACUGGGGUGAAGUCGUACAAGGGGGAAACAAA
RNAcentral lists this ribosomal RNA (711 nucleotides) under Pantoea agglomerans. RNAcentral describes it as "bacterial SSU rRNA". It matches the Rfam family "Bacterial small subunit ribosomal RNA", at positions 794 to 1506 of the family's 1533-position model. Lineage: Bacteria; Pseudomonadati; Pseudomonadota; Gammaproteobacteria; Enterobacterales; Erwiniaceae. The record is from RNAcentral.